Molecule: long non-coding RNA, 397 nt
Filed under: Nicotiana benthamiana
Lineage: Eukaryota; Viridiplantae; Streptophyta; Magnoliopsida; Solanales; Solanaceae
Description: long non-coding RNA (NBEN_LNC016477)
Source: RNAcentral
UUGAAAGUAUGAGCUUACCUUUGCACCAAAAUUUUGGGACUGUCAUCGAGUAUAGGCUAAUUGAUAGCAGUUGUUAGGGACUCGAAACUAAGUAAUCAUUCUGAACCUUGAUGAAUUGAGACAGCUGCCCUGUUUGCACUAUCAAGGCAGCCUACUUGCACGACUCUGAAUGUAUCUACUAUUUUGUUUCGACAAGUUCUACAUUGAUCACUAAAGUGUUUCCCCUUUAUCUGGAUAUAUGAUCAUGCUGCAUAUUUCUGCUAGUUUAAAGCUGUUGAAGUUCCCAUUGGAUAAUAUUUGAUCUUUGAGGCUCACCAUGUUGAAGGACCAGUGGGUGUUCAUGUUUUUUUUUUUUUUUUGCAUGAGAAUUCUGUCAUUGAACUUCUUUAACAAAACA